Molecule: long non-coding RNA, 10304 nt
Filed under: Homo sapiens (human)
Lineage: Eukaryota; Metazoa; Chordata; Mammalia; Primates; Hominidae
Description: non-protein coding TMEM9B-AS1:11
Source: RNAcentral
AGUCCUGGUGCCCGCCUUGGCCUAGCCCCGGCCCCGGGACGGAAGGGGGCCUCUGGGGUGGCAGCCUGGGCCCAGUAGAGCUUUGCAUCUCUUGGAUAUCUUUCCCGGGCGCAGAAGCUGCGGGGCUUAGGGAGUCGCCAUUGCGCUGGAAAGUCCUCCCGCCCACGGAGACCCCAGCAAACUCCGAGUGUCACACAGUCGCCUCUGGCGACCCGUGCGGGCCGGAGCCGUUCGCGCACAGGCAGGGCGGGUGCUGAGCGUGGAAACGGGGCUGGAAUUGGCCGAGCCAUGCCUUUCCGGGAUGCCCACCGCCAGUCAAAGGGUUGGGGGUGGUCUCUGCACCUUAAGUACUAACCUGCCGCCCACGCGCCUCCUGACCACAGCACCCCGUCGGCUUUCUAAUUCUGUGAGCUGCCCUCGUGGGCGUGGCCUCCCUGUGGAGCUCCCCAUGUGCCUCCCCUUGGUCCAGCCUGCAGCUAGGAAGUGGGUCACAGCGACGGGGCUGGGCUGGGCCAGGCCAGGCUCCGGGAGAUGUGGAAUUGGCGAAACAACUGCCCCAGUAGUAUCCUCCGCCUAGGACUCCAAGAGGUGGCGAAUUGGGGCACUACGCCCGGGUAAGGCAGUGCCUGUUCAGGGCUGCCGACCUGUCUCCCCAGGGCUGUCAUUCUCAGCAAGUACUUUAGGAGUGCCUUAGAUCGGCACAUUCUCCCAUUGAAAUAUUUUUGUUAGUGGAGACAAGGGAGGUAAUGGCAAGGACACGGAUCAUCACAGCCCCUAGGGAUUUGUUGAAUGACCUUUGGCAAAUCACUUCCCUUCUCUGGGCCUGUAGUUCUUGGCUGAAUAUGAGGGAAUGGAUUUCAAAUUAUGCUCCAUGUAAUACCCGUGUUUUUACCUCUGUAAACAGAUUUUUUUGUUUUUUUUGAGACGGAGUUGCACUCCAGCCUGGGCGCAUGGUGGCUCAUGCCUAUAAUCCCAGCACUUUGGGAGGCUGAGGCAGUCAGAUCACUUGAGGUCAGGAGUUCAAGAACAGCCUGACCAACAUGGUGAAACCCCAUCUCUACUAAAAAUAGAAAAAGUUAGCCAGGCGUGGUGGCAGGCGCCUGUAAUCCCAGCUACUCAGGAGGCUGAGGCAUAAGAAUCCUUGAACCCAGGAGGCGGAGGUUGCAGUGAGCUGAGAUUGCACCAUUGCACUCCAGCCUGGGCAACAAUAGCGAAACUCCGUCUCAAAACAAACAAACAAACAAAACAAAAAAACUUAAUGAAUACAGUCCCUCCUAAGAUUUUCAAAUAAAUGAAAUACCACAUUAAUCAUAUUGUUUUAUUUUUAUCAUUACAUUAAAAAUCAAAUAGUAUCACUAGGUUUAUAAUGAAAAACAGCAGACCCUGUCCCAGCCCUCCACACUCUCAGUUUCUACUCCCUAGAUAUAAUCUCUAUUCACCCAGCUACCUCUUCUGGUAUUUAUCUCCGUAUUUCUAAAUAGCAUGCUUAUACUACUAAUUCUUAAUUUUUCAGUUUGGGCCAUUAUUUUACUUUUUCUAUAGGAAAUAAGAUAUGUGUUUAUACUCUGAAGACUGGUAAUACACACAUGUAUUUCUCCAUCUUCCAUCCUUCAGUUUAUCUAUAUCACCCUAUAUAGGUAGAGUACUAUUCAUUAUACUAUUAUAAAGGUAUGUAAUUGAUCCAGUUAGCAUAAUAUGAUUAUAUUUCCUUUAUUUUGAUUGAAGUUAACUAUUGCCUCUUUCUCCAUGCAACUUUCUUAAGUACCUAGCAUUCAAGUGUCUAUAAUCAAUUUAUUCCAAACUGUCCUUUCAAAACAUUGAAACACAUCAAGUAGUCUAUCAAUCAGUUUAUUUUUUAAAUUGGAGACAACUCUCUAGGAGCCCAUCAUCCUCCUUCACUGUGGACUAGUUUUUCUCUAAGCCUACUGCACAGCUUUUGUCCUGAAAUAAUUUUAUCCUUUCUACCCUGUUUUCCACUUCUUUUUGUUUUUCUGAAAGAUUUCCACCUUCCAGCUUUUCUUUUGAAUUUUAAAAUUUCUGUUAUGUUUUAAAUUUGCCAGAAUACUUUCUUGUCAACCUCUCUUUUAAUUAAAAAUAUUUUUUAUUUUUGUAAUUUAAAGGUUUAUUGUAAAUUGACAAGUACAAAUUGGAUAUAUUUAUGGGGUACAAAGUGAUGUUAUAUGUAUACAAUGUGGAAAGAUUAAAUCAAGCUAAUUAACAUAUCCAUCACUACAAAUACUUCUUUGUGGUGAGAAUACUUGACAUUUACCUUCAGCAAUUUUGAAAUAUACAGUACAUUAUUAUUAACCAUGCUAUACUCUUUAUCUCAAAAAAUGUAUUCCCUUUAUCUAACUGAAACUUCGUACUCUAACCAACAUCUCCUUGUUUCCCCUACCACCCCUUCCCCCUACUCUCUGAUAACCAUCAUUCUACUCUGAUUCUGUGAGUUUGUUUUAGAUUCUACAUUAGGAAUCAUGUGACUUUGUCUGUCUGUGCCUGGCUUAUUCCAUUCAGCAUAACGUCCUCCAGGGAAGCACUUUCUUGUCCACCCCCUUCCCCUUUUUAAAUAGCAGUCUGUUCCAUUUGGUGGAUGCAGUAUCUUAUUACUCUAAGAAUAUUGCUAAUGUUUUCUUUUGUUUCUUGAAUUGUCUGUGUUGAAUUUUUAAGGCUUGUUUCUGUUUUGUGUUGGAAGCUUUUCUUAAACGUCUAGAGAUCCUUGGCCAUCCAUUCAUAUGUAAGAGUGGGGCACUAGAAAGCCAAUAGAAAGUUCUGUGUACACUGGCCAGUGAGGUGGCUCACACCUGUAACCCCAGCACUUUGGAAGGCCAAGGCAGGCAGAUCACUUGAGGUCAGGAGUUCAAGACCAGCCUUGCCAACAUGGUGAAACCCCAUCUCUACUAAAAAUACAAAAAUUAGCCGGGCUGGUGGCGCACGCCUGUAAUCCUUGCUACUUGGGAGGCUGAGGCUUGAGAAUCUCUUGAACCCGGGAGGCAGAGGUUGCAGUGAGCUCUCCAGCCUAGGCAACAGACCAAAACUCUGUCUCAAAAAAAAAAAAAGUUCUGUGUACAUACUUAGGACUUGUAAUUGGUAGGACAUACUGCAGUAUUUUUCAAACUUCUGGUCGCAAACCCAUUAGUAGUUUGUGAAAUCAAUAUAAUCAGUUUUAUUUCCCCCAAAUGACAGAACAGAAUAGAAAACACCACCUCAGAAUACAUCUACAUAGAAAGAGAAUUAUUUUAUGAAACUUUGGUUUCUUACACAUAUCAUAUAUACAUAUUAUGUACUGGUUUGAUCCCAUAAAAUGGGAGUUUUUUUUUUUUAUUGUGGGUGUUUCUUCAAAGAAAUUUGAAAAAGUACAACUUAGGAUAAUCAAAGAGAUCUCCAACUGUCAGGACAGGUAGGUCUUUUCUCUUAGAGAGGUUAAGUUCCGGCCCAGUGCGGUGGCUCAUGCCUGUAAUCCCAGCACUUUGGGAGGCUGAGGCGGGCAGAUCAUGAGGUCGGGAGAUUGAGACCAUCCUGGCUAACAUGGUGAAACCUCAUCUCUUCUAAGAAUACAAAAAAUAAGUCAGGCAUGGUGGCACGCGCCUGUAAUCCCAGCUACUCGGGAGGCUGAGGCAGGAGAAUCAUUUGAACUCGGGAGGCGGAGAUUGCCACUGCACUCCAGCCUGGGCGACAGAGCAAGACUCCGUCUCAAAAAAAAAAAAAAAAAAACGGAGAUAAGUUCUCCUGGAGUAAAAUUCUCUAAACUUUUGCCUGCAUGCUAGUCUGAUAGACAGUACUCAUUCAUUCAGGUAUUGGUUGAGGACUUACUAUGUGCCAAACACUGUUCCAGGUUCUGGGUAUACAUCAGACAAAACUGUCUCCUGGGACUAGAUUCUAGUGAGGGAGAUAAACAGUGGGUUAUAUAGUAUUUAGAUCUUGCGCUAGGUAACACAGCAACAGAAGGGAAAGCUGAACAUAUGCAUAUAGAUGCUGGUAAGAGGGUGGAUGUGGUGGAUGAAUGAAGUAGAAAACAAGGUCAUCAUCUGAGAGUGAAAAUGGGGAGGAAGUGUUGGAAGAAAAGAGAAGGUGUGAAAUAAUUUAGGACACAGCACAGCAAACUAUAGCCUUUGGUCAAAUCCUAUUUUGGUGCAAUCCACAAGCUAAGGAUACUUUUUUACUUUUAAACGGUUGGGAAAAAAAUUUAAGAUGAUAUUACAUCAUAGCAUGUAACAAAUAAAUGCAAUUCAAAUUUCAUUUAUUUACAUAUUGCCUCUGGCUACUUUCAUGCUACAGUGACAAAGCUGAAUAAUUGCAAAAGAGACUAUGACCUGCUAUGCCAAAAAUAUUUAUCUGGCCCUUUACAGAAAAAGUUGGCUGACUCCUGAUCUAGGAGGAUGGGAAGGUAUAUAGAGUAGGGAAAUAUGAUUAUCAGGCAGCAUUAAGGCCUGAAGGUUAUGGACAUGAAUUUAAAGUAAGACUAAACAGCAUAGUUGCUGCACAGAAGUAGGUACAAAGGCAAAGAGCUGGCUUUAAAGUUGUGAUUUUGCAAACUGAAAAUGACAAAAAGGGGUAGACUAAGUUAAAAGUACAUGCAAGUUGCAUGAUUAUAAUGAGUGAUCCUGGGAUUUAAGUUGAUUAUGACAGGAACAGAAGGAACUUGGAGAUUAGGGACAAUGAAAAGGUGGUAGUGAAAGGAGUGUUGGAGUUAAGUUACUAGAUGUCUGGAAGACAGACUGUGGUGGUCAGAUAAUGAGAUAGAUUAUGGAGGGGUUACAGUUUUUGGUAAUAACGAGAGAGAUCUAAGGUAUGACUGAGAGUGAAUGGAUGAGAAUAGCAGAGAACAAGGUCAGUGGAAAACUACUCUUCAAAGAACCUAUAGUCAGGGUGUUGAAAGAUUAAAAAUUGCUAAGAAUUAAAUCAGGAGUAGUGCUGCGGGAAAUGAAAUGAGCAGUGAACUAAACUUACUGAGAAAUGAGAGGGGAUGACCCAGGGGUUUGUAGAUUUUGUAGAUGAUAGCAAUGAAGAGAAGAGAUAUUAUUUGAUGGUAUGGAACUCAAAGCUGAGAGUUUUAAGGGAAGAUAGGAGACGUGUCUAGAAGUAGUAAUGAGGAGCAAGAACAUCAUCUACCCCAUCUCCAGGACCAGUAAUAGGAGGACUGUGGGAGAAAAAAAUCACCUUGAGAGGGCUGUAGUGAAAGCAGUAUCCUAAGGUAGCAGCCAAGUUUCAGACUGCUGGGAUCCAAGCCAGGGAAAGGUUUCUGACUCUUUAGAAUGCUGAGCUUUAGGCUGGGCACAGUGGCUCACGCCUGUAAUCCCAGCACUCUGGGAGGCCAAGGUGGGCAGAUCACUUGAGUCCAGGAGUUCAAGACCAGCCCAGGCAACAUGGUGAAAUCCCAUCUCUACACAAAAUACAAAAAUUACCCAGGUUUGGUGGUUCAUGCCUGUAGUCCCAGCUACUCAAGAGACUGAGGUGGAGAAUCACUUGAGCCCAGGAGGUUGAGGCAGCAGCAAGCCAUGAUCACACCACUGUACUCCAGCCUGGGCAACAGAGUGAGACCCUGUCUCAAAAAAACAAACAGAAUGCUGAGUUUUAAAUCCCUAUAUUCAGUAGGAUGUCUCCCCUCAGCUCCCAGUUGUUGUUGGUGGCUUCAACUAGUUCAUCUUCCCCAGGAGAUAAUGAAUGAACAAAUGAAUGAAUGAAUGAAUGAGUUUAUAAGGGGCGAGGAUCUCAGGACUUCAUAGUCUUUCAAGUAAUCAUCUUGUUUUUAGCCCUCUACCUACUACCUCUUGCUUUUCAGAUAACUGAUGCCUCCAAUUCCUAAGCCUUUUCUGGGGUUCUGUGGUACAAACAUGCUUGCUUAUUGCUAGUAACACUCCACCAGCCCCUGCCCCAGACUUCUGCUUUCUCUGGUCUACUCAGUUUGUUCCUUGUUUUUUGCUUUCCGGAUUCAAAGAUUUUGUUGACAUUGCCUGGAUGCUGCCAUCUUUUGUCUCAUAUUCUUUGUCCUUAAUCAUUUAACAUUCCUUUACUGUCAUUUUAAUGGCAUUUCAGGAGGAAGCCAUGUUUCUAGUCCACCGUUCUUUUUUGUUGUUUUUGAGACAGAGUCUUACUCUGUCACCCAGGCUGGAGUGCAGUAGCAUGACCUCAGCUCACUGCAACCUCUGCCUCCCGGGUUCAAGCGAUCCUCCCACCUCAGCCUCCCGAGUAGCUGGGACCACAGGCAUGCGCCACUACAACUGGCUAAUUUUUGUAUUUGUAAGUAGAGAUGAGGUUUCUCCAUGUUGGCCAGGCUUGUCUUGAAUUCCUGGCCUCAAGUGAUCCACCCACCUCAGCCUUCUAAAGUGCUGGGAUUACAGGCAUGAGCCACCACACCGGGCCAAUCCACUGUUUUUUAAAAAGUUGUCAAGAGUUUUGUUAAGGGGUCAGACAUGUCUGACUGGUUGACUUUUCCCAGAAUGCUGCUUAGUCCCUCAAACACACAAAUUCCUGAUGGGUCCACCCACUAGGCUUCUGGUAUACACAGACAGAUCUGAAUCCCAGUGGUGGAAACAACCUAGGCUGAUUCUGAGUUUCCCACUGCAUUUCUUCUUCUAAUUGUCCCUCUUUUCCAUUCCUGUCCUUUCCCUCAUCCCUUACCUGCUGAAAAUGAAUCUUACCAUUUCUAAAAUUCCACUCUUCCGGGGGCAUCCACAGCUGGAUCCUCUUCUUCACUGCCAUUCCUCAGGCCUUAGAACAGGUCCCCUUCUUACACCCUUGUGCUCCAACUGGUCUUUAUGAAACCUGUUCACUUCAAUAUACUUUUAGGCCAGGCUCACGCCUGUAAUCCCAGCACCUUGAGAAGCUGAGGCCGGUGCAUCACUUGAGGUCAGGAGUUCGAGACCAGCCUGGCCAACAUGGUGAAACCCUAUCUCUACUAAAAAUACAAAUAUAUAUACAUAUGCCAGGCAUGGUGGCAUGUGCCUGUAGUCCCAGCUACUCAGGAGGCAGAGGCACGAGAAUCACUUGAAUCCAGGAGGCGGAGGUCGCAGUGAGCCGAGAUUGUGCCACUGCACUCCAGCUUGGGCAACAGAGCAAGACUCCGUCUCCAAAAUAUAUCUUAUCUAUAUAUAGAUAUAGAUAGGUAUAUAUAGAUCUAUAUAUAGAUAUAUACUUUCAAUUCUCCAAUUGUUCCCGUAUACCAUAGAGAAACUCUUAUGAGCUCAGUUUCUGCAGGACUUACAAAACAGGGUAAUUGCCUCCUCAUUAUGGUCAGCUCCAGCACCAUUCAAAUUCUCUGUCCUUACCCAUUUCCAGAACAAGCAGGAUGAAAAUCACUUAUCACUAUAGCACCCACCCUUAAGCACAAGGUUAUCCAAUGUUUUCAAGGAGUCCAGCAUUUCAUAACAGAACCCCCUGAUUAGUUUGCUAACUGAUGAAAGCAGAGUUAAAUUCCUGUUAUGCAGGUUUAGAGUACAGGAGAUUCUAUGUCCCCAUAUCCUCUGCCCCCCAAUCUAUCCCUUGGCAAACACAAGUACCUCUACUAGAAUAACCAUACUCCCUCUUCCCAACCCACUUCUCUUGUUUAAGGGCACUGGCAGUGUUUGUGUAUGUCAACAACAUCGGAGUAUCUGGGGUCCCUGGAGAGUUAGAUUUUCUGUAUUAAUUACAGACUGGGAGAUUACUCUGGCUCCAGUAAAAGCAAUACCAGGAUUGAAGUCCCCUCUCUGAUUAUGGUGGCUGGGAUUUGCUGGAAGAGGCAUAGGUCCAGAAAAGAAUGUAAAAAAGGUACUAGAAAGAAAGAAUAAGGCCUAUAGCCAUCAGGCUGCUAGAACCUUUGGACAAGUCACUAUCUAAAAGCAGGUAAAGACCCAGCUUUUUGUCCAUCUGGUCAGGCACCUGGUGGCGUGAGUCUUUCAGAACAUACUGGUCAGGCGGUGGCUCACGCCUGUAAUCUCAGCACUUUGGGAGGCUGAGGCAGGAGGAUCACUUGAGGUAAGGAGUUGGAGACCAGCCUGGCCAACAUGGUGAAACCCUGUCUCUACUAAAAAUACAAAAAUUAGCCAGGUGUGGUGGCGGGCAUAUGUAGUCCCAGCUACUUGGGAGGCUGAGGCAAGAGAAUCGCUUGAACCCAGGAGUCGGCAGUUGCAGUGAGCCGAGAUCACACCACUGCACUCCAGUCUGGAUGGUAAAGUGAGAACCCAUCUCAAAAAAAAAAAGGAACAUACCACAACCCUUCAAUAAAAAGGUCUCUGAGAAAACAGUUGUCACAAUGUCCAUGUACUUGUACUUGACACCAUGUGAGAAACAGCCUCCAGUAGGUCACUGGCCAGACAGGUGAGUAUGAAAUAGGACAACACUGUAUUAUAGCUCAGGAUGCAUUGAUAAUAGAAGUUUGAAGCAGCAGCUGACAGACGAGUCUAAGCAAUAACACACAGACUAGUUUGUCUCUGCUCUUGAGAACAGCAGCCUGCAACCCUUCAAACAAGCCAUAAUGUGUGAGUCAACAAGAAGCUACAUUUGAUUGACAAUGCCAUUUUAAUAAAGAUGUUCUAGAGUCAAAGAAUUUGGCGUGAGAAAUUGUGCCCAGGCUGGGGUGCAGUGGUGUGAUCAUAGCUCACUGCAGCCUCUGAGCUCCUGGGCUCAAGGGAUCCCCCUGCCUUAGCCUCUGAAGUAGCUGGGACUACAGGCAUGCACCACUGUGCCCAGCUAAUUUUUAAUUUUUUUGUAAAGAUAGGGUCUCAUUAUGUUUCCCAGGCUGGUCUCGAACUCCUGGCUUCAAGUGAUCCUCCCACCUUGGACUCCGAAAGUGCUGGGAUGUGCUCAAUAUUAAAUGUCAUGAAGAUACUGUUAAAAUAAUAAUUGUGCUCAAUAGUUGUAUCUUUAUACUAUUCUGAGCCUUAGGUUUCUUUUCUGUAAAACUGAACAAUACUACCUUCUUUGCAGGGGAUAGCAUAGUCCCUGGUUUACAGUAAAUGCUUUCCUCCAAUUGAAUCAAGAUAUACCUCUCUGCUACCUCCCCAUCUAUUAGAAAUGCUUGCCUUCUGGUACCAGAAAAAAAAAAAAAACACCUUCCACAUGACAACUCUGAAGACAAUAAUCACACUACCAUUGUGUUUUUCUGGAUGUGCCACACAUUGUAUACAUGUCCCUGCCUUACAAAUGACAUCUCCUAUACACAGAGUCCUUAAUAUUUCUACAUGCAAUGUAUAAUCAAUUAAAACAUCAGUAUCAUCUUAAUGUGAAUUUCUGUUAAUCCAAGUUCUCCCCCACUAUGCAAGUGCAAUAAAUAUUUAAAAAUGAAGGUAACAAUAUAUAUAUAUAUUUUUUUGAGACAGAGUCUCGCUCUGUUGUCCAGGCUGGAGUGCAGUGGCGUGAUCGCGGCUCACUGCAAGCUCCACCUCCCGAGUUCAUGCCAUUCUCCUGCAUCAGCCUCCUGAGUAGCUGGGACUACAGGUGCCCACCACCACUCCCAGCUAAUUUUUUGUAUUUUUAGUAGAGACAGGGUUUCACUGUGUUAGCCAGGAUGGUCUCCAUCUCCUGACCUUGUGAUACACCCCUCUCGGCCUCCCAAAGUGCUGGGAUUACAGGUGUGAGCCACCGUGCUUGGCCAACAAUAUAUAUUCUUAACUGUGUAAAUUUUAAUUUGUUGGUUUUAUUCUUUUGAGAUUAUUAUGAAUAUUGAUUCUGUCAUUCAUCGCUUAAGGACCAGGCAGGUGAACCACUUGACAUUUUUUAUCAUCAGAAUAAAUUGACAAAAACAAAACAAAAUACUUUGAGGUGGAAUGGAAGUAUCUUGAGUAGUAGUAAAACCAUAGUUCUAGAUGGUGAUAAUCAUUGUCAUAAUGAAAGCGUGUUGCUUGUUGACUAUUUAACCAUGCUGUUUAAGUCAUAUUAAAAACAUCAAUACGUCCCUCUCCCUCUCCCCUCUCCCCUCUCCCCUCUCCCCUCUCCCCUCUCCCCUCUCCCCCUUCCCACGGUCUCCUUCCACGGUCUCCCUCUGAUGCCGAGCCAAAGCUGGACGGUACUGCUGCCAUCUCGGCUCACUGCAACCUCCCUGCCUGAUUCUCCUGCCUCAGCCUGCCGAGUGCCUGCGAUUGCAGGCGCGCGCCGCCACGCCUGACUGGUUUUCGUUUUUUUUUUUUUUGGUGGAGACGGGGUUUUGCUGUGUUGGCCGGGCUGGUCUCCAGCUCCUAACCGCGAGUGAUCCGCCAGCCUCGGCCUCCCGAGGUGCCGGGAUUGCAGACGGAGUCUCGUUCACUCAGUGCUCAAUGGUGCCCAGGCUGGAGUGCAGUGGCGUGAUCUUGGCUCGCUACAACCUCCACCUCCCAGCCGCCUGCCUUGGC